AACGCUAGCUACAGGCUUAACACAUGCAAGUCGAGGGGAAACGACAUCGAAAGCUUGCUUUUGAUGGGCGUCGACCGGCGCACGGGUGAGUAACGCGUAUCCAACCUGCCCACCACUUGGGGAUAACCUUGCGAAAGUAAGACUAAUACCCAAUGAUAUCUCUAGAAGGCAUCUGAAAGAGAUUAAAGAUUUACCGGUGAUGGAUGGGGAUGCGUCUGAUUAGCUUGUUGGCGGGGUAACGGCCCACCAAGGCAACGAUCAGUAGGGGUUCUGAGAGGAAGGUCCCCCACAUUGGAACUGAGACACGGUCCAAACUCCUACGGGAGGCAGCAGUGAGGAAUAUUGGUCAAUGGACGAGAGUCUGAACCAGCCAAGUAGCGUGCAGGAAGACGGCCCUAUGGGUUGUAAACUGCUUUUAUAAGGGAAUAAAGUGAGAGUCGUGACUCUUUUUGCAUGUACCUUAUGAAUAAGGACCGGCUAAUUCCGUGCCAGCAGCCGCGGUAAUACGGAAGGUCCGGGCGUUAUCCGGGUUUAUUGGGUUUAAAGGGAGCGUAGGCCGGAGAUUAAGCGUGUUGUGAAAUGUAGAUGCUCAACAUCUGCACUGCAGCGCGAACUGGUUUCCUUGAGUACGCACAAAGUGGGCGGAAUUCGUGGUGUAGCGGUGAAAUGCUUAGAUAUCACGAAGAACUCCGAUUG
RNAcentral lists this ribosomal RNA (696 nucleotides) under uncultured bacterium. Its description in RNAcentral is "bacterial SSU rRNA". It matches the Rfam family "Bacterial small subunit ribosomal RNA", at positions 32 to 715 of the family's 1533-position model. The record is from RNAcentral.